This 531-nucleotide unclassified non-coding RNA is filed under the name Hevea brasiliensis (rubber tree). Lineage: Eukaryota; Viridiplantae; Streptophyta; Magnoliopsida; Malpighiales; Euphorbiaceae. The record is from RNAcentral.
UGUUCGCCGGCGCGCCGAUCGUGUUCGGCGUCGGCACCAUCGGCGUUCUCUACACCAUGGCGAGCUGGUGGGCCGACGUGAUCCGCGAGGCGCAGUACAAGGGUGACCACACCCGCGUCGUGCAGUUGCAUCAUCGCUACGGCAUGAUCCUGUUCAUCGCCUCCGAAGUGAUGUUCUUCGUGGCGUGGUUCUGGGCCUAUUUCAACGCCGCGCUGUUCCCGGCCGAUCCGGUUCACGUCACGCGCGACGCUCUGUUCGGCGGUGUCUGGCCGCCGAAGGGCAUCGAGACCUUNCGAUCCGUGGCACUUGCCGCUGCUCAACACGCUGAUCCUGCUGACCUCGGGCACCACGGUGACCUGGGCGCACCACGCGCUGCUCGAAGGCGACCGCAAGGGCCUGAAGUGGGGAUUGAUCCUGACCGUGCUGCUCGGUGCGCUGUUCCCCUGCGUGCAGGCCUAUGAGUACAGCCAUGCGCAGUUCAGCUUCGCGGGUAACGUCUACGGCGCGACCUUCUUCAUGGCCACGGGCUUC